Molecule: ribosomal RNA, 690 nt
Filed under: Mucor lusitanicus
Lineage: Eukaryota; Fungi; Mucoromycota; Mucoromycetes; Mucorales; Mucoraceae
Description: eukaryotic LSU rRNA
Rfam family: Eukaryotic large subunit ribosomal RNA
Source: RNAcentral
GCGGAGGAAAAGAAAAUAACAAUGAUUUCCCUAGUAACGGCGAGUGAAGAGGAAAGAGCUCAAAGUUGGAAACUGUUUGGCUUAGCUAAACCGUAUUGUAAACUGUAGAAACAUUUUCCUGGCACACCAGAUUAAUAAGUCCUUUGGAACAAGGCAUCAUGGAGGGUGAGAAUCCCGUCUUUGAUCUGAGUAGUUGUCUUUUGUGAUAUGUUUUCAAAGAGUCAGGUUGUUUGGGAAUGCAGCCUAAAUUGGGUGGUAAAUCUCACCUAAAGCUAAAUAUUUGCGAGAGACCGAUAGCGAACAAGUACCGUGAGGGAAAGAUGAAAAGAACUUUGAAAAGAGAGUUAAACAGUAUGUGAAAUUGUUAAAAGGGAACCGUUUGGAGCCAGACUGGUUUGCUUGUAAUCAACCUAGAAUUCGUUUUGGGUGCACUUGCAGGCUAUACCUGCCAACAACAGUUUGAUUUGGAGGAAAAAAUUARUAGGAAUGUAGCCUCUCGAGGUGUUAUAGCCUAYUAUCAUACUCUGGAUUGGACUGAGGAACGCAGCGAAUGCCUUUAGGCAAGAUUGCUGGGUGCUUUCGCUAAUAAAUGUUAGAAUUUCUGCUUCGGGUGGUGCUAAUGUUUAAAGGAGGAACACAUCUAGUAUAUUUUUUAUUCGCUUAGGUUGUUGGCUUAAUGACUCUAAUGAC